AUUGAACGCUGGCGGCAUGCUUUACACAUGCAAGUCGAACGGCAGCGCGGGCUUCGGCCUGGCGGCGAGUGGCGAACGGGUGAGUAAUGCAUCGGAACGUGCCCAGUAGUGGGGGAUAGCCCGGCGAAAGCCGGAUUAAUACCGCAUACGACCUGAGGGUGAAAGCGGGGGACCGAAAGGCCUCGCGCUAUUGGAGCGGCCGAGGUCGGAUUAGCUAGGUGGUGGGGUAAAGGCUUACCAAGGCGACGAUCCGUAGCUGGUCUGAGAGGACGACCAGCCAGACUGGGACUGAGACAGGUCCCAGACUCCGACGGGAGGCAGCAGUGGGGAAUUUUGGACAAUGGGGGAAACCCUGAUCCAGCCAUGCCGCGUGCGGGAAGAAGGACUUCGGGUGGUAAACCGCUUUUGUUCGGGAAGAAAUCCUCUGGGCUAAUACCCCGGGGGGAUGACGGUACCGGAAGAAUAAGCACCGGCUAACUACGUG
RNAcentral lists this ribosomal RNA (484 nucleotides) under uncultured bacterium. Its description in RNAcentral is "partial 16S ribosomal RNA". It matches the Rfam family "Bacterial small subunit ribosomal RNA", at positions 29 to 507 of the family's 1533-position model. The record is from RNAcentral.